This 115-nucleotide small RNA is filed under the name Tatumella morbirosei. Its description in RNAcentral is "RtT RNA". It matches the Rfam family "RtT RNA". Rfam says of the family: This family represents a bacterial cis-regulatory element known as RtT RNA. The exact function of RtT is unknown although it is thought that it may be involved in changing the cellular response in relation to amino acid starvation. The record is from RNAcentral. Lineage: Bacteria; Pseudomonadati; Pseudomonadota; Gammaproteobacteria; Enterobacterales; Erwiniaceae.
UACGUCCGGAGUUUAAAGAGGAUGAGAACCUCCGAAGGAGGUUUGAGCCGGGCGUCAGCGAGACAACGUUGCUUCAGCAACGGUCCGCAGGGGCAUCAUCCUCUCCCGCCGACCA